This 468-nucleotide ribosomal RNA is filed under the name uncultured bacterium. Its description in RNAcentral is "partial 16S ribosomal RNA". It matches the Rfam family "Bacterial small subunit ribosomal RNA", at positions 28 to 507 of the family's 1533-position model. The record is from RNAcentral.
GACGAACGCUGGCGGCGUGCUUAACACAUGCCAGUCGAACGGAAAGGCCCUGCUUUUGUGGGGUGCUCGAGUGGCGAACGGGUGAGUAACACGUGAGUAACCUGCCCUUGACUUUGGGAUAACUUCAGGAAACUGGGGCUAAUACCGGAUAGGAGCUCCUGCUGCAUGGUGGGAGUUGGAAAGUUUCGGCGGUUGGGGAUGGACUCGCGGCUUAUCAGCUUGUUGGUGGGGUAGUGGCUUACCAAGGCUUUGACGGGUAGCCGGCCUGAGAGGGUGACCGGCCACAUUGGGACUGAGAUACGGCCCAGACUCCUACGGGAGGCAGCAGUGGGGAAUAUUGCACAAUGGGCGGAAGCCUGAUGCAGCAACGCCGCGUGCGGGAUGACGGCCUUCGGGUUGUAAACCGCUUUCGCCUGUGACGAAGCGUGAGUGACGGUAAUGGGUAAAGAAGCACCGGCUAACUACGUG